AAAAGCAUAGUAUAAAUAAAUACAUUUCGUUUACACUGAAAAUAUACUUAAGUUAUAAGUUGCUUUUA
RNAcentral lists this transfer RNA (68 nucleotides) under Profundiconus teramachii. RNAcentral's name for it is "tRNA-Val". Lineage: Eukaryota; Metazoa; Mollusca; Gastropoda; Neogastropoda; Conidae. The record is from RNAcentral.